Molecule: long non-coding RNA, 3101 nt
Filed under: Apis florea (little honeybee)
Lineage: Eukaryota; Metazoa; Arthropoda; Insecta; Hymenoptera; Apidae
Description: uncharacterized LOC116415497, transcript variant X1
Source: RNAcentral
AAUAUAAUUAUGGUGGCUUUGAAGGAUAGAAUAAUUCGAUCUCUUCAAUUGUAUAUAUUUCAUUUUAUUCUUCAUUUUGUGGAUAGAACUGGACCAAGAUAAGUCCUUGUUUGCAAGAUAAUUAGUUUAUUACAAUUAGUACAGAUAUUAGAUUUAUCAUUCCAACACGCAUCAUCAUUUCCAAUAUCAUUCUAAUACCGAGUCGAAUCAAGUGACUCGAACGACAACAUUUGACCGAAUCGAGACGAAAGUUUCCGAGUCGUUUUCAAGUCAAAUUACCUUCCACUUGAAUUUCCAAUUUCCGCUCGCUCGUCAAAUUCAAGAACUAACUCCGCCCGAUCCGGACAAAGAGACGCUUUCAACGUCUCGAUCAAACUUAAUCUUACCACGUGUAUGCACGUGCGCUCUUCUGCAAUCGGGAAAGUAACAAGUGCAUUCUCUCUCUCUGUCUCUCUCCGCCGAAGGAGGAGAGGUGCGUUGAAAAGAAUGAAGGUUGGCCAAGGAACGAACGGUCGAACAGAUAUCCCGGCUCGUGAAUAAACUGCCGAUGGCAAGGCCACGACUAAUGGCCGCCAGUCUGGCGUCGAUAUUCCCGCUUUUGCACACACGAUCCAACGAUCCGACGUUCUAACCUCCGCUUCGUGUGGCUUCCUCUUUCGCCCGCCCACCUCUCCUCGCUGAUCCCAACACCGUCCAAUCGGUAAUUCAGUUUUACGACGCUCGCGACACCUUCGAGAUCGCGAUCACAGAAAGAAGGAAAAAUGGAAAAUAAGAAAAAGCGACGUGGCCUGAAGCGCUUGAAAAAUUUGCGACUCACGGCAUUCGCACGCGAUUACUCCACUCGAUCCGCUGGUUUAAUUGAUUCGACGUGUAUUUGCCCGCCUUGAUUUUCAUCGUGAUACGAAAAGUGGAUUUUAAUAAGAUGUUUUUAAUUAAUAGAUGAUGAGAAACUUACAAAGGUUCGAGAUUUUUCUCGUCUCUUCUUCUUUUUCUUCUUCUUUUUCGAUUUGUAAGAACCACGAAUUUGAAUUUCUCGAUGUGCGACAUUCUCGUUGCAGUGUUUGAAUUAUUCGUGGAGAUUAUGGGUUAUUUUGGAUUUUCUUCUCUCUUUAAAUCCUAAUUCGGUAUCGGUUUGAAAACGAACAUUGAUUUUCUGUUGUAAGAGAAAUAUAAAUUUUCCUUCCUGUAAAAUAAUCAUCAUGAGAGAAAAUGUUGGAUAAAUUCGCGGGGCGAAUAAAUAUCGUAAGUUUGAUAAAUGUCAUGCGUUUGAUUUUACACGCGAUGCAAUUAGUUAUCGCGAAGAUAAUGACAAACGGAAUCAAAAAUCAAUUGUACGAUGAUUGUACAGCGAUCGUUCAUUAUGUCGUUAUUAUAAUAGAAUUAGAUAUUCGAUACGAGGGAUCAGAUACUUAAUCGACCGUUCAGCUAAUGUCGAAACGUCAAGAUAAACGUAUGUUGACAGAUCGCAACGUUGCGAACGAGAUAUUAUUGGAUCGAUAGUUUUCGCGAUAAUUGAACUCGAAGCGUUCGGAAAAAAGAUAUUCUCGACAAGAUCACUUUGUCACAAAGCGAUGCGUAAAAUCAAGGUUAGGUCAUUUACAUGGAACUCGCGUUUUUAAAUUAUUGAAAAAAUGAUAAAUUACGACGAAGAUAUAUUUUGCACCGAUUGGUAUUCGUUACUAAAAUGAGCAAAUACUGUUUAGAACAUGUACGUUAUAAUAAAAAGAGAAAGAAAUGUUGAGGUUUACGUCCUCCGCGAAAUCAGGAGGUUAAUGAAAAAUCUACACAAGUUAAAAUUUGAAAGAGAGUAACGAAAAAUGAAAAAGAUAUGUAAGGAUCCAAAAUGUCCGGCAAACCAUCCUUGUAUAAAGAAUUAUAAUGCGAGUACUUCGACAACUACGUUAAUUAAUAACAAGAAAAAGAAGAAAGAAUUAAAAAAGCAGAAGAAAUUGAAAAAAAACCGAAUAAUUUAAACAAAAAAUGCCAAACUCCGAAAUUACCAAGAGAAAGUACUACAUCAUUGUCGAUAUGUCGAAUUAAUACCUGCAACUCGAUCGCGAAACCAAAAAUAAUGUGCCAAUGUCCGAAAAGAAAAAUUCCCAAAGAAAGUAAGGCAAAAAAAAUAAUUGAUAAAGUAACUCCAAAUUCACGAUGCAUGAAGAUUAAAGAUCAACCAAUUUCUUGUAUAUGCGUUAAAAAAUCCAGUUCAGAAGACUUAAAAAAAUUGUGCAAAUGUUCGUCAACGUGCACAUUUCUUUCAAAAUACAAUGACUGUUGCUGCAUAAGGGAAAAAAUAAAAAAGAAAAAAAGAAAAAUGAUAAUUCGAUAGAUUAUUGCUAUUCUAAUAAAGAAAUGCCAUUUAAAGGAACAUUAUGCACAAAAUACCGUGAACAAAGGUUAGAAUCAUUAAUGUAAUAAAUAUUUUUAUAUAAUACAUGAAAUAACGUUUUCAUACUUGAAAUUUAGUCCAAAGAAAAAUAUAUUUGUCAAAGGAUUCUCCAAGUUACGUAAUAAACUACAAAAACUUAAAACUCGGUAUGAAAAAGUAAUAUACACAACACGAUUAUUGACAAAGUAUCGCUAACAACUUUAUUUUUAUUUUAGUAAAAAAAGAAAACGUGAAUAUGUUGAACACCGAUGUUGUGGAAAUUCUUUUCGAACUCGAAAUCAAAUUAUGGUAAAUAUUUGUGAAAUUAAAUGAGAGAGAACAAACGCGAUAAUAAUAUGUAAUAUUAUACUGGAAAAAAAUUAAACUCAUAUUCUUUCAUUUCAGGAGAAAAGGAAAGUGAAAUUUUGCUAAUAAAGGUAACGAUGAAAACGGUACUUCUGAUAAAUAUUUCAUCUGUAUUUGCUUACAAAAUCAAUAUAGCUGCUCAAAGGCUCGAUGUAUAAGCGAAUGGGGUUUCUUUGUGUUGGUUAUUAUAUAGCACGAAAUCCACUCGUAUACAACGGGACUAAGAGAUAUUUUGAAUUUAUAUUGGCUUGUAUAAUUACGUAAUAGUGAAAUUAUAAAUCGACUUGUAUGAAAUAUUAAAUAAGCGUCCAAUGUCAAUCAUUUCUUACAGGAUGUAUAGUAAACUUAAAGAUUCCUUUAUGCUAAA